This 492-nucleotide ribosomal RNA is filed under the name uncultured bacterium. Its description in RNAcentral is "partial 16S ribosomal RNA". It matches the Rfam family "Bacterial small subunit ribosomal RNA", at positions 29 to 507 of the family's 1533-position model. The record is from RNAcentral.
AGUGAACGCUGGCGGUAGGCCUAACACAUGCAAGUCGAACGGCAGCACAGUAAGAGCUUGCUCUUACGGGUGGCGAGUGGCGGACGGGUGAGGAAUACAUCGGAAUCUACUUUUUCGUGGGGGAUAACGUAGGGAAACUUACGCUAAUACCGCAUACGACCUACGGGUGAAAGCAGGGGAUCUUCGGACCUUGCGCGAUUGAAUGAGCCGAUGUUGGAUUAGCUAGUUGGCGGGGUAAAGGCCCACCAAGGCGACGAUCCGUAGCUGGUCUGAGAGGAUGAUCAGCCACACUGGAACUGAGACACGGUCCAGACCCCUACGGGAGGCAGCAGUGGGGAAUAUUGGACAAAGGGCGCAAGCCUGAUCCAGCCAUACCGCGUGGGUGAAGAAGGCCUUCGGGUUGUAAAGCCCUUUUGUUGGGAAAGAAAAGCAGCAGGUUAAUACCCCGCUGUUCUGACGGUACCCAAAGAAUAAGCACCGGCUAACUUCGUG